This 1313-nucleotide ribosomal RNA is filed under the name Campylobacter jejuni. Its description in RNAcentral is "partial 23S ribosomal RNA". It matches the Rfam family "Bacterial large subunit ribosomal RNA", at positions 1624 to 2925 of the family's 2925-position model. Lineage: Bacteria; Pseudomonadati; Campylobacterota; Epsilonproteobacteria; Campylobacterales; Campylobacteraceae. The record is from RNAcentral.
AAGUUUAGCUAAUGUUGCCCGUACCGUAAACCGACACAGGUGGGUGGGAUGAGUAUUCUAAGGCGCGUGGAAGAACUCUCUUUAAGGAACUCUGCAAAAUAGCACCGUAUCUUCGGUAUAAGGUGUGGUUAGCUUUGUAUUAGGAUUUACUCCGAAAGCAAGGAAACUUACAACAAAGAGUCCCUCCCGACUGUUUACCAAAAACACAGCACUCUGCUAACUCGUAAGAGGAUGUAUAGGGUGUGACGCCUGCCCGGUGCUCGAAGGUUAAUUGAUGGGGUUAGCAUUAGCGAAGCUCUUGAUCGAAGCCCGAGUAAACGGCGGCCGUAACUAUAACGGUCCUAAGGUAGCGAAAUUCCUUGUCGGUUAAAUACCGACCUGCAUGAAUGGCGUAACGAGAUGGGAGCUGUCUCAAAGAGGGAUCCAGUGAAAUUGUAGUGGAGGUGAAAAUUCCUCCUACCCGCGGCAAGACGGAAAGACCCCGUGGACCUUUACUACAGCUUGACACUGCUAUUUGGAUAAGAAUGUGCAGGAUAGGUGGGAGGCUUUGAGUAUAUGACGCCAGUUGUAUAUGAGCCAUUGUUGAGAUACCACUCUUUCUUAUUUGGGUAGCUAACCAGCUUGAGUUAUCCUCAAGUGGGACAAUGUCUGGUGGGUAGUUUGACUGGGGCGGUCGCCUCCCAAAUAAUAACGGAGGCUUACAAAGGUUGGCUCAGAACGGUUGGAAAUCGUUCGUAGAGUAUAAAGGUAUAAGCCAGCUUAACUGCAAGACAUACAAGUCAAGCAGAGACGAAAGUCGGUCUUAGUGAUCCGGUGGUUCUGUGUGGAAGGGCCAUCGCUCAAAGGAUAAAAGGUACCCCGGGGAUAACAGGCUGAUCUCCCCCAAGAGCUCACAUCGACGGGGAGGUUUGGCACCUCGAUGUCGGCUCAUCGCAUCCUGGGGCUGGAGCAGGUCCCAAGGGUAUGGCUGUUCGCCAUUUAAAGCGGUACGCGAGCUGGGUUCAGAACGUCGUGAGACAGUUCGGUCCCUAUCUGCCGUGGGCGUAAGAAGAUUGAAGAGAUUUGACCCUAGUACGAGAGGACCGGGUUGAACAAACCACUGGUGUAGCUGUUGUUCUGCCAAGAGCAUCGCAGCGUAGCUAAGUUUGGAAAGGAUAAACGCUGAAAGCAUCUAAGCGUGAAGCCAACUCUAAGAUGAAUCUUCUCUAAGCUCUCUAGAAGACUACUAGUUUGAUAGGCUGGGUGUGUAAUGGAUGAAAGUCCUUUAGCUGACCAGUACUAAUAGAGCGUUUGGCUUAUCUUUAAUAAAGCAU